AGCGAACACGACGAGGAGCUUGCUCCUCUGACGUUAGCGGCGGACGGGUGAGUAACACGUGGAUAACCUACCUAUAAGACUGGGAUAACUUCGGGAAACCGGAGCUAAUACCGGAUAAUAUAUUGAACCGCAUGGUUCAAUAGUGAAAGACGGUUUUGCUGUCACUUAUAGAUGGAUCCGCGCCGCAUUAGCUAGUUGGUAAGGUAACGGCUUACCAAGGCAACGAUGCGUAGCCGACCUGAGAGGGUGAUCGGCCACACUGGAACUGAGACACGGUCCAGACUCCUACGGGAGGCAGCAGUAGGGAAUCUUCCGCAAUGGGCGAAAGCCUGACGGAGCAACGCCGCGUGAGUGAUGAAGGUCUUCGGAUCGUAAAACUCUGUUAUUAGGGAAGAACAAAUGUGUUAGUAACUAUGCACGUCUUGACGGUACCUAAUCAGAAAGCCACGGCUAACUACGUGCCAGCAGCCGCGGUAAUACGUAGGUGGCAAGCGUUAUCCGGAAUUAUUGGGCGUAAAGCGCGCGUAGGCGGUUUUUUAAGUCUGAUGUGAAAGCCCACGGCUCAACCGUGGAGGGUCAUUGGAAACUGGAAAACUUGAGUGCAGAAGAGGAAAGUGGAAUUCCAUGUGUAGCGGUGAAAUGCGCAGAGAUAUGGAGGAACACCAGUGGCGAAGGCGACUUUCUGGUCUGUAACUGACGCUGAUGUGCGAAAGCGUGGGGAUCGAACAGGAUUAGAUACCCUGGU
This 745-nucleotide ribosomal RNA is filed under the name uncultured Staphylococcus sp. Its description in RNAcentral is "bacterial SSU rRNA". It matches the Rfam family "Bacterial small subunit ribosomal RNA", at positions 65 to 791 of the family's 1533-position model. Lineage: Bacteria; Bacillati; Bacillota; Bacilli; Caryophanales; Staphylococcaceae. The record is from RNAcentral.